Molecule: ribosomal RNA, 553 nt
Filed under: Aulostomus maculatus (trumpetfish)
Lineage: Eukaryota; Metazoa; Chordata; Actinopteri; Syngnathiformes; Aulostomidae
Description: partial 16S large subunit ribosomal RNA
Rfam family: Bacterial large subunit ribosomal RNA
Source: RNAcentral
CGCCCAAAAGCUAGCCUACUACGCAAGCACAACAACCAAUAUUAAUACCCCCUAACAUACUACAAAUCACUAAACCAAAUCAUUUUUCCGCCUAAGUAUGAGCGACAGAAAAGGACACAUUUUUAGAGCAAUAGAGACAGUACCGCAAGGGAAAGCUGAAAGAAAAAUGAAAUACUCAACCCAAGCACCGAAAAGCAAAGCUUAAAACUUGUACCUUUUGCAUCAUGGUCUAGCCAGCAUUACUUAGGCAAAGCGCACUUUAGUCUAAGCCCCCGAAACCAGGUGAGCUACUUCAAGACAGCCUAAUAUAAGGGCGAACCCGUCCCUGUAGCAAAAGGGUGGGACGAUCUUCAAGUAGAGGUGAUAUACCUAUCGAACCUGGCUAUAGCUGGUUGCUUGAAAAAUGGAUAGAAGUUCAGCCUUGCCCUUUCCUGAGCCACCCUCACUUUAGUCUCCACUCAUAGGAAUCUAACGAAUAGCGCAAGAGUUAAUCACAGGAGGUACAGCUCCUCUGAUAUAGGACACAGCCUUACACAGGAGGGUAAAGAUCAUC